Molecule: ribosomal RNA, 468 nt
Filed under: uncultured bacterium
Lineage: Bacteria
Description: partial 16S ribosomal RNA
Rfam family: Bacterial small subunit ribosomal RNA
Source: RNAcentral
GACGAACGCUGGCGGCGUGCUUAACUCAUGCCAGUCGAACGGAAAGGCCCUGCUUUUGUGGGGUGCUCGAGUGGCGAACGGGUGAGUAACACGUGAGUAACCUGCCCUUGACUUUGGGAUAACUUCAGGAAACUGGGGCUAAUACCGGAUAGGAGCUCCUGCUGCAUGGUGGGGGUUGGAAAGUUUCGGCGGUUGGGGAUGGACUCGCGGCUUAUCAGCUUGUUGGUGGGGUAGUGGCUUACCAAGGCUUUGACGGGUAGCCGGCCUGAGAGGGUGACCGGCCACAUUGGGACUGAGAUACGGCCCAGACUCCUACGGGAGGCAGCAGUGGGGAAUAUUGCACAAUGGGCGGAAGCCUGAUGCAGCAACGCCGCGUGCGGGAUGACGGCCUUCGGGUUGUAAACCGCUUUCGCCUGUGACGAAGCGUGAGUGACGGUAAUGGGUAAAGAAGCACCGGCUAACUACGUG